ACCCGCUGAACUUAAGCAUAUCAAUAAGCGGAGGAAAAGAAACCAACAGGGAUUGCCCUAGUAACGGCGAGUGAAGCGGCAACAGCUCAAAUUUGAAAUCUGGCGUCUUUGGCGUCCGAGUUGUAAUUUGCAGAGGGCGCUUUGGCAUUGGCAGCGGUCCAAGUUCCUUGGAACAGGACGUCACAGAGGGUGAGAAUCCCGUACGUGGUCGCUAGCCUUUACCGUGUAAAGCCCCUUCGACGAGUCGAGUUGUUUGGGAAUGCAGCUCUAAAUGGGAGGUAAAUUUCUUCUAAAGCUAAAUACUGGCCAGAGACCGAUAGCGCACAAGUAGAGUGAUCGAAAGAUGAAAAGCACUUUGGAAAGAGAGUUAAAAAGCACGUGAAAUUGUUGAAAGGGAAGCGCUUGCAGCCAGACUUGCCUGUAGUUGCUCAUCCGGGUUUUUACCCGGUGCACUCUUCUAUAGGCAGGCCAGCAUCAGUUUGGGCGGUUGGAUAAAGGUCUCUGUCAUGUACCUCUCUUCGGGGAGAACUUAUAGGGGAGACGACAUGCAACCAGCCCGGACUGAGGUCCGCGCAUCUGCUAGGAUGCUGGCGUAAUGGUCGU
This 603-nucleotide ribosomal RNA is filed under the name uncultured fungus. Its description in RNAcentral is "eukaryotic LSU rRNA". It matches the Rfam family "Eukaryotic large subunit ribosomal RNA", at positions 23 to 641 of the family's 3401-position model. The record is from RNAcentral. Lineage: Eukaryota; Fungi.